Molecule: ribosomal RNA, 447 nt
Filed under: uncultured bacterium
Lineage: Bacteria
Description: partial 16S ribosomal RNA
Rfam family: Bacterial small subunit ribosomal RNA
Source: RNAcentral
UCCCAGACUCCUACGGGAGGCAGCAGUGGGGGAUAUUGCACAAUGGGGGGAACCCUGAUGCAGCGACGCCGCGUGGGUGAAGGAGCGUUUCGGCGCGUAAAGCCCUAUCGGCAGGGAAGAAGGAGGACGGUACCUGACUAAGAAGCCCCGGCUAACUACGUGCCAGCAGCCGCGGUAAUACGUAGGGGGCAAGCGUUAUCCGGAUUUACUGGGUGUAAAGGGAGCGUAGACGGCGACGCAAGUCUGGAGUGAAAGCCCGGGGCCCAACCCCGGGACUGCUCUGGAAACUGCGGCGUUGGAGUACGGGAGGGGCAGGCGGAAUUCCUGGUGUAGCGGUGAAAUGCGUAGAUAUCAGGAGGAACACCGGCGGCGAAGGCGACUUUCUGGACUGUAACUGACGUUGAGGCACGAAAGUGUGGGGAGCAAACAGGAUUAGAUACCCCAGUA